UACAGAGGGUGCGAGCGUUGUCCGGAAUCACUGGGCGUAAAGGCGCGUAGGCGGCCUGAUAAGUAGGGGUGAAAUCCUGUGGCUCAACUGCAGGCUGCCUCCUAGACUGUCGGGCUUGAGCACGGUAGAGGCAGAUGGAAUUCCGGGUGUAGCGGUGGAAUGCGUAGAGAUCCGGAAGAACACCGGUGGCGAAGGCGGCCUGCUGGCAGUGAGCUGACACUGAGGCGCGACAGCGUGGGAGCAACAGGAU
RNAcentral lists this ribosomal RNA (250 nucleotides) under uncultured bacterium. RNAcentral describes it as "partial 16S ribosomal RNA". It matches the Rfam family "Bacterial small subunit ribosomal RNA", at positions 524 to 778 of the family's 1533-position model. The record is from RNAcentral.